RNAcentral lists this long non-coding RNA (901 nucleotides) under Helianthus annuus (common sunflower). Lineage: Eukaryota; Viridiplantae; Streptophyta; Magnoliopsida; Asterales; Asteraceae. The record is from RNAcentral.
CCCUAGAUUUCCAUUUGUUCAUCCUUCUUCUCCUUCAAACUCUAUAAUCCAUCAACCUCUGCAAUCGAAUCGAUUCAACCAUCAGCCAUUCUCUUCAAGGUGCGUUUUGGUUCCGAUAAUCGACGCAUCCACAUUAGAGAUUCUGCUUUUGUGCUCUACGAUUAUCUUCAAGGGUAUUUGGGACACCGGUGAUGGGCAAUGUGUGGUGAUGAUUCAAUAUCACUAAAUCUCUAUAGUGUCGUCUUAAUUUCAUAUUGGACAUUGCUAAUUUAAUCUCAUUUUCACGUCGGUAUCGCUAAUUUUAUCUUAAUUUUACAUUGGGUAUUAUUAAUUUGAUUUAAAUUUCACUUGGGUAUUGCUAAUUUGAUUAUUUAAUUGGGUUCACGGUUACAACUCUCUAUAAUUUUGAUUGGUGAUAUAGUGACUUCCUCAUGCCUUUAUUAGUACUCACCAAUCUUUGUUCAGGAACAACCUGUAUUCAGAAUUCAUCAUGUCUCCUUUUCUACUUGGCUAUCCAAAACCUACCGGAUGGAGUUUGAACUAAAAGUCAGGUUUGCGUUGAAGACUUGAAGACGACAUUGUUGCCUCAUUGGAUCAAGAAGAAUGAACAGGGUCUUUAAUCCCUUUAGCCAGUGGAUGCAAGAAAAGUAUUUUUGGUAUGUUCAGGUUAAAACUGGUAUGGGUAUGGGUCAUGGCGGGUCGAGACGGUUAUCGGUACUGGUCAAAGGUGGGUUGUUUUUAUAAAAGAUCAUUUUGGUUUGUGUAAGAAACGGGUUUGUUGAAUUGGAUAUGGUUAAAAGACUCAAAACAGGUUGUUUUUAAAAAAACAAAUUACUAAAAGUAAUAAUAACUAUAUCUAUAAUAUCGAAAUGAGCGAAAUGGGUCCAGUUGCAUGGCCGGU